UAGCCCUGAAAAUGGAUGGCGCUGAAGCGUCGUACCCAGACCCGGCCGUCGGGCCGCGCGGCACGGUCCGACGAGUAGGAGGGCGUGGCGGUGGCAGCGCAGCUUCGGGCGCGAGCCCGGGUGAAGCCUCCGCCAGUGCAGAUCUUGGUGGUAGUAGCAACUAUUCAAACGAGAUCUUUGAAGACUGAAGUGGAGUAGGGUUCCAUGUGACCAGCACUUGGACAUGGGUUAGUCGAUCCUAAGGGGAGGGAGAGUUCCCCGUGGAAGGUGCAAUCGCCUCCGGCGACCGCGCCGUUUUCCCCGAAAGGGAGUCGGGUCAACAUUCCCGAACCGGGAUGCGGGUAGGCCCUCGUGGCCACGGCGGCAACGCGAGCGAACUCGGAGACGUCGGCGGGAGCCCCGGGAAGAGUUCUCUUUUCUUCUUAACGGGCCUUUCCCCUGGAAUCAGGUUGGCUGGAGAUAGGGUGUCGUGCCCGGUAAAGCGUCACACUUGUGGUGGCGUCCGGUGCGCUCCCGACGGCCCGUGAAAAUCCGAGGGAGCGUCUGAUCUUCGCGCCCGGUCGUACCGAUAUCCGCAUCAGGUCUCCAAGGUGAACAGCCUCUAGUCGAUAGAACAAUGUAGGUAAGGGAAGUCGGCAAAACGGAUCCGU
This 650-nucleotide ribosomal RNA is filed under the name Stryphnus ponderosus. RNAcentral's name for it is "eukaryotic LSU rRNA". It matches the Rfam family "Eukaryotic large subunit ribosomal RNA", at positions 1307 to 1931 of the family's 3401-position model. Lineage: Eukaryota; Metazoa; Porifera; Demospongiae; Tetractinellida; Ancorinidae. The record is from RNAcentral.